ACGCUCGACACCUACGUGAGGCAGCAGUGGGGGAUAUUGCACAAUGGGGGGAACCCUGAUGCAGCGACGCCGCGUGAGGGAAGAAGGUUUUCGGAUUGUAAACCUCUGUCCUCAGGGAAGAAGAUGACGGUACCUGAGGAGGAAGCCACGGCUAACUACGUGCCAGCAGCCCGGAGUACUNAGCGGCGNGNGAGAG
Molecule: ribosomal RNA, 196 nt
Filed under: uncultured bacterium
Lineage: Bacteria
Description: partial 16S ribosomal RNA
Rfam family: Bacterial small subunit ribosomal RNA
Source: RNAcentral